This 2658-nucleotide long non-coding RNA is filed under the name Malus domestica (apple). Its description in RNAcentral is "long non-coding RNA (MDOM_LNC010655)". Lineage: Eukaryota; Viridiplantae; Streptophyta; Magnoliopsida; Rosales; Rosaceae. The record is from RNAcentral.
UAAAUAAAAUUACUUAAAGAAAAAACACAAAUCCGCUGUAGCAAAACUAAACUUGGCUAAUUUGUUCACCUUGGUUCGCCUCUUGGCAGCGGAAAAUACUUUUGGAUUCUUUUUUUGGUAUUUGUCGUUUUUAUAUCCAUUUCAAUCAAUAAUCAACUCCCAAGCUAUAAAUAAAAUUACUUAAAGAAAAAACGCAAAUCCGUUGUGGCAAAACUAAACUUGGCUAAUUUGUUCAUCCACGUUCGACACCUAGUAACAGAAAAUUCUUUUGAAUUAUUUUUUUUGGAUUUUUUGUUUUUUAUGUCUAUUCCAGUCACUAGUCGCCCCUCUAGCUCCAAAUAAAAUUACUUAAAAAGUAAAACACAAAUUCGUAGCAGCAAAACUAGUCUUGGCUAAUUUGUUCUUCCAGGUUGAAAAUUGUUUUUGAACUUUUUUCUUCUUUCCAAUUUUGAUAUCUAUUCCAGUCACUAAUCACCGAUACAGAUAUAAAUACAUUAUUCAAGAAAAUAGAACACAAAUCCGCUGUAGCAAAACCAAACUUGGCUAAUUUGUUCAUCCAGGUUCGACUCCUGGCAGUGGAAAAUACUUUUUGAUUAUUUUUUUGGUAUUUUUUGUUUUUAUAUCCAUUUCACAUACUAAUCGCCCCUCUAUCUAUAAAUAAAAUUACUUAAAAAAUAAAACACAAGUCCGUAGUACCAAAAGUAAUAUUGGAUAAUUUAUUCUUCCAGGUUUGAAAAUCCUUUUUAAACUUUUAUGUUCUUCCCAAUUUUCGUAUCUAUUCCACUCACUAAUCACCCAUAAAGAUAUAAAUACAUUAUUGACGAAAAUAGAACACAAAUCUGCUGUAGCAAAACUAAACUUGGCUAAUUUGUUCAUCCAGGUUUGACUACUGGCAGCGGAAAAUACUUUUUGAUUAUUUUUUUGUAUUUGUCGUUUUUUAUAUCUAUUUCACUCACUAAUCACCCCUCAAGCUAUAAAUAAAAUUACUUAAAAAAUAAAACACAAAUCUGUAGUGGCAACACUAAUUAUGGCUAAUUUAUUCUUCCAGGUUUGAAACUUGUUUUUAAACUUUUUUCUUCUUUCCAAUUUUGAUAUGUAUUCACUCACUAAUCACCGAGAAAGAUAUAAAUACAUUAUUCAUGAACGUAGAACACCAAUCCGCUGUAGCAAAACUAAACUUGGCUAAUUUGUUCAUCCAGGUUCGACUGCUAUCUGCGGAAAAUACUUUUUGACUAUUUUUUUUGUAUUUUUCUUUUUUUAUAUCUAUUUCACUCACUAAUCGCCCCUCUAGCUAUAAAAAAAAUUACUUAAAAAAUAAAACACAAAUCCGUAGCAGCAAAACUAAUCUUGGCUAAUUUGUUCUUCCAGGUUUGAAAAUCGUUUUUAAACUUUUUCCUUGUUGCCAAUUUUGAUAUCUAUUCCACUCACUAAUCUCCGAUAAAGAUAUAAAUACAUUAUUCAUGACAAUAGAAAACAAAUCCGCCUUAGCAAAACCAAACUUGGCUAAUUUGCUCAUCCCGGUUCGAUUCCUGGCAGCGGAAAAUAUUUUUUUUUGUAUUUUUUGUUUUUUAUAUCUAUUUCACUCACUAAUCACCCCUCAAGCUAAAAAUAAAAUUACUUAAAAAAUAAAACACAAAUCCGUAGUGGCAACACUUAUCAUGGCUAAUUUAUUAUUCCAGGUUUGAAAAUCGUUUUUCAACAUUUUUCUUCUUCCCAAUUUUGAUAUCUAUUCCACUCACUAAUCACCGAUAAAGAUAUAAAUACAUUAUUCAUGAAAAUAGAACACAAAUCCGCUGUAGCAAAACUAAACUUGGCCAAUUUGUUCAUCCAGGUUCGACUCCUGGCAGCGAAAAAUACUUUUUGAUUAUUUUUUUUGUAUUUUUCGUUUUUUUAUCUAUUUCCCUCACUAAUCGCACCUCAAGCUAUAAAUAAAAUUACUUAAAGAAUAAAACACAAAUCCGUAGUGGGAACACUAAUCAUGGCUAAUUUAUUCUUCUAGGUUUGAAAAUCUUUUUUAAACUUUUUUCUUCUUUCCAAUUUUGAUAUCUAUUCCACUCACUAACCACCGAUAAAGAUAUAAAUACAUUAUUCAUGAAAAUAGAACACAAAUCCGCUGUAGUAAAACCCAACUUGGCUAAUUUGUUCAUCCAGGUUUGACUCCUGGCAGCGGAAAAUACUUUUUGAUUAUUUUGUUUGUAUUUUUUGUUUUUUAUAUCGAUUUCACUAACUAAUCGCCCCUCUAGCUAUAAACAAAAUUACUUAAAAAAUAAAACACAAAUCCGUAGUAGCAAAACUAAUCUUGGCUAAUUUGUUCUUCCAGGUUUGAAAAUCGUUUUUAAACUUUUUUGUUCUUUCCAAUUUUGUUAUCUAUUCGUGUCACUAAUCACCGAUACAGAUAUAAAUACAUUAUUCAUGAAAAUAAAACACAAAUCCGUUGUAGCAAAACCAAACUUGGCUAAUUUGUUCAUCCAGGUUCGACUCCUGGCAGAGGAAAAUACUUUUUGAUUAUUUUUUUUGUAUUAUUCUUUUUUUAUAUCUAUUUCACUCACUAAUCGCCCCUCAAGCUAUAAAUGAAAUUACUUAAAAAGUAAAACUCAAAUCCGUAGGGGCAACACUAAUCAUGGCGAAUUUAUUCUUCUAGGUAAGAAAAUCGUUUUU